RNAcentral lists this ribosomal RNA (774 nucleotides) under uncultured Neocallimastigales. RNAcentral's name for it is "partial large subunit ribosomal RNA". It matches the Rfam family "Eukaryotic large subunit ribosomal RNA", at positions 24 to 643 of the family's 3401-position model. Lineage: Eukaryota; Fungi; Neocallimastigomycota; Neocallimastigomycetes; Neocallimastigales. The record is from RNAcentral.
UAUGUGAUCGUCUCUCGCAUAUCAAUAAGCGGAGGAAAAGAAACUAACAAGGAUUCCCCUAGUAACGGCGAGUGAAGCGGGAAGAGCUCAAAUUUGAAAUCUUAAAGGGUUUCCCUUUACGAAUUGUAGUUUAAAGAAGUGUUUUCUGUUGAGGUUUUGGUAAAAGUUCUUUGGAAUAGGACAUCAUAGAGGGUGAGAAUCCCGUAUUUGACCUUUACUUUCAACUUUGUGAUACACUUUCAAAGAGUCGGAUUGUUUGGGAAUGCAGUCCAAAAUGGGUGGUAAAUUUCAUCUAAAGCUAAAUAUUGACGAGAGACCGAUAGCGAACAAGUACCGUGAGGGAAAGAUGAAAAGAACUUUGAAAAGAGAGUUAAACAGUACGUGAAAUUGUCAAAAGGGAAGCGUUUGACACCAGUGUUGUUUUUCUGAAAAUCAAUUAAAGAACUGUUUAUGCUAAGUUGUUUAGACUUUAUCAGCUAACUGUUUAGUUUUGAGCUUUUCUUUAAUGCACUUUUCAGUUAACAAGUCAACAUCAAUUUCUUUUGCUGUAAAAAAGCUUGAGGAAGGUGGCUUGAGAUUCGUCUUAAGUGUUUAUAGCCUCUUGCCUAUGCAGUCGGAGAGAUUGAGGUCUGCAGCGUAGAUCCUUCGGGGCUAAAUGCAUUUGUGCUAAGUUAUAGCAUUUUAUAGACAACUUGUUGACUAUGAUUUGUCUUGUAGCUUACUCGCUUAUGUUAUUUUACCUACGCUUAGGAUGUUGACACACGCGCGUGCUCG